RNAcentral lists this ribosomal RNA (256 nucleotides) under uncultured Actinomycetales bacterium. RNAcentral describes it as "partial 16S ribosomal RNA". It matches the Rfam family "Bacterial small subunit ribosomal RNA", at positions 77 to 334 of the family's 1533-position model. Lineage: Bacteria; Bacillati; Actinomycetota; Actinomycetes; Actinomycetales. The record is from RNAcentral.
CUUUUGUGGGGUGCUCGAGUGGCGAACGGGUGAGUAACACGUGAGUAACCUGCCCUUGACUUUGGGAUAACUUAAGGAAACUGGGGCUAAUACCGGAUAGGAGCUCCUGCUGCAUGGUGGGGGUUGGAAAGUUUCGGCGGUUGGGGAUGGACUCGCGGCUUAUCAGCUUGUUGGUGGGGUAGUGGCUUACCAAGGCUUUGACGGGUAGCCGGCCUGAGAGGGUGACCGGCCACAUUGGGACUGAGAUACGGCCCAG